AACGGCCGCAAAAUUAACCGCGCGAAGGUAGCGCAAUAAAUUGUCUUUUAAAUGAAGACCUGUACGAAUGGCAAAACGAGGGUUUAACUGUCUCACUCUCUCCGUUAAUAAAAUUGAUCUCCCCGUGCAGAAGCAAGGAUAAUAUUAUAAGACGAAAAGACCCUAUGGAACUUUAGAAUCUGAAAUAGAACAAUUAAAAUUAAUAAAUUACAACCCCUAUUUCUUUUAUUUCUUUGGUUGGGGCGACCAAGGAGAAAAACAAAACCUCCUAUAAAAAUCAGUAAGAUAUGCAAAAUAAGAAUAACAUUUCUCACUCACAAAAUAUGUGUUUAAAGAUGACCCGAAAACAUAUUCGAUCAACGAAACAAGCUACCCUAGGGAUAACAGCGCAAUCCCCUUUUAGAGCCCCUAUCGACAAGGGGGUUUACGACCUCGAUGUUGGAUCAGGACAUCCUAAU
This 458-nucleotide ribosomal RNA is filed under the name Pterolebias phasianus. RNAcentral describes it as "partial 16S ribosomal RNA". It matches the Rfam family "Bacterial large subunit ribosomal RNA", at positions 1926 to 2551 of the family's 2925-position model. The record is from RNAcentral. Lineage: Eukaryota; Metazoa; Chordata; Actinopteri; Cyprinodontiformes; Rivulidae.